UACAGAGGGUGCGAGCGUUAAUCGGAAUUACUGGGCGUAAAGCGUGCGUAGACGGUUACGUAAGUCGGAUGUGAAAGCCCCGGGCUCAACCUGGGAAUUGCAUUCGAGACUGCGUAGCUAGGAUGCGGAAGAGGGAAGCGGAAUUUCCGGUGUAGCGGUGAAAUGCGUAGAUAUCGGAAGGAACACCAGUGGCGAAAGCGGCUUCCUGGUCCAGCAUCGACGUUCAGGCACGAAAGCGUGGGGAGCAAACAGG
RNAcentral lists this ribosomal RNA (253 nucleotides) under uncultured bacterium. RNAcentral's name for it is "partial 16S ribosomal RNA". It matches the Rfam family "Bacterial small subunit ribosomal RNA", at positions 524 to 776 of the family's 1533-position model. The record is from RNAcentral.